Molecule: long non-coding RNA, 1545 nt
Organism: Ailuropoda melanoleuca (giant panda)
Lineage: Eukaryota; Metazoa; Chordata; Mammalia; Carnivora; Ursidae
Exons: 3
Source: RefSeq, a predicted model, not a curated record
GGCAUUUAUUCUCUGAAGGCCAAAAUACUUCCAGCACUGGAGCAUAAGGCCGGAAAUGAGCCAUCUGAUCACUCUGAUGGAAGAUGAUGAGAACAGUUCAGAAGUUAGAGUCUGAGACAAAUGCAAGGGGACAUAGCCAAGACACAAACAUCCAACAACUAACUUCUAGAGGGAAGAAUUUCAGCAGAGAUAUGAGUAGACCUCAGAGAAGCAAAGCUCGCAUCAAAUGCUUUCUUUUUCUGCCCUACCUGCUUUGACUUGGCAAUGACAAUCCCUGAAGUGACCAUGAAGAAACGUAGAGCACAGUUCAAAGGGACAGUCUUGGAAUGAGUAAAAUGGUAAGCUGAAACUGAAAAAAAGGCAGUAGUUUCAGAGAUGUAUAGGAAGCAAAAAAAGGCAAAAGCAUCAUUUAAAGGAGGCUUUUAAAUGGCAUUCUUUUCAUUGAUGACAAACAAAUCGGGAUCCUUUUACUUGAUGAAGUGUUACUGCCAACAGGAGACUCUCGCCUGUCCGUUUUGGGUUACAGACCCCUCCUGUACUGAGCAAUGAUCAGAUGAAAAUAUUGGAGCUACUUUUUGGAAUCAACUGAAGCGUAUGAUGUGUGAUAAGCCAAAACCAUCAGUGGCAUUCAGUGAUGAAGGCAUAAUCAACCGGACUUGGUGCCUGAGGUGGUCUGCCUCCUUGCAUUUCCUUCUACCUUACAUUUCUGUUUGAGAGAUUUGCUUUCAUUCUUUUCAGAUCUCUAGUGCAUGCAGUGGAAAUCCUUCUUAAGCAUUCCUCUCUCUAUUUUGUUUUUUUUCCCCUAUAGAUUGCAUGCUUCCUUCACCCUCUGAGAAAUAGGUCUGGCAGCUUUGAGGCAAGUUUCUUAAAGUGUGGUGGGAAUGCUUUGCGUUAUUUGUUGAACUUCUUACAAGCGUUCUCCUUCAUCAUGCCCAAUGUGCUAUUUGCAAAACACACGGCAAAUAACCAUUCAUCACUUUACAUCAUCAUAGCACUGCACCACUUGAUUUCUUCUCCUCUAGGAAAUACAGAUGAAUGCCAGACCACAACACAGACAAUUUCGGGCCUUUUGUGACUCCUAAAAUCUCAUGACGCAGGGGAAGUAAACUGAUAAACAGAGUUAUGGACAUGCAUUAUUUACUCAUGUAUCAAGACGCUAAAGAUAGUCUUAGAGGACCAAGGGGUCAAAGGGCUGUUUUAGUUAAUUCAUUAAGCAUUAUUCAGUCAAUUAAUUAAUUCAAUGUAGCUUUGUGAGUGCUAACUAGGCCCAGGCAUUAUUCUGAACACUGUGUGAGAUCUACAAUGAAAUGAAACUCAGAUCUCUGUUUUCAAAGAGACUGUAAUUUAGAAGAGAUAAGUUAGACAUAAACAAUUGUGCAUUUGAAAAUUCAUACCAUUAAAGUGGUUCCUUGAUUGCCAUACUCCCUCUUUCUCUUCUUCUUCUUCUUCUUUUUUUUUUUUUUUUAGAUUUUAUCUAUUUAUUUGACAGAGAGAGAGACAGCCAACAAGAGAGGGAACACAAGCAGGGGGAGUGGGAGAGGAAGA